This 253-nucleotide ribosomal RNA is filed under the name uncultured bacterium. Its description in RNAcentral is "partial 16S ribosomal RNA". It matches the Rfam family "Bacterial small subunit ribosomal RNA", at positions 524 to 776 of the family's 1533-position model. The record is from RNAcentral.
UACGGAGGGUGCGAGCGUUGUCCGGAAUCACUGGGCGUAAAGGGCGCGUAGGCGGCCUGAUAAGUAGGGGGUGAAAUCCUGCGGCUUAACCGCAGGGCUGCCUUCUAAACUGUCAGGCUGGAGCACAGUAGAGGCAGGUGGAAUUCCCGGUGUAGCGGUGGAAUGCGUAGAGAUCGGGAAGAACAUCAGUGGCGAAGGCGGCCUGCUGGGCUGUUGCUGACGCUGAGGUGCGAGAGCGUGGGGAGCGAACCGG